AUUGAACGCUGGCGGCAUGCUUUACACAUGCAAGUCGAACGGUAACAGGUUAAGCUGACGAGUGGCGAACGGGUGAGUAAUGCAUCGGAACGUGCCCGGUCGUGGGGGAUAACGCAGCGAAAGCUGCGCUAAUACCGCAUACGAUCUGAGGAUGAAAGCGGGGGACCGUAAGGCCUCGCGCGAUCGGAGCGGCCGAUGUCAGAUUAGGUAGUUGGUGGGGUAAAGGUUCACCAAGCCAACGAUCUGUAGCUGGUCUGAGAGGACGACCAGCCACACUGGGACUGAGACACGGCCCAGACUCCUACGGGAGGCAGCAGUGGGGAAUUUUGGACAAUGGGCGAAAGCCUGAUCCAGCAAUGCCGCGUGCAGGAAGAAGGCCUUCGGGUUGUAAACUGCUUUUGUACGGAGCGAAAAGGUCUCCUCUAAUACAGGGGGCUCAUGACGGUACCGUAAGAAUAAGCACCGGCUAACUACGUGCCAGCCGCCGCCUAA
This 492-nucleotide ribosomal RNA is filed under the name uncultured bacterium. RNAcentral's name for it is "partial 16S ribosomal RNA". It matches the Rfam family "Bacterial small subunit ribosomal RNA", at positions 30 to 522 of the family's 1533-position model. The record is from RNAcentral.